GACGAACGCUGGCGGCGUGCUUAACACAUGCAAGUCGAACGGAAAGGCCCUGCUUGCAGGGUGCUCGAGUGGCGAACGGGUGAGUAACACGUGGGUGAUCUGCCCCUUACUUUGGGAUAAGCCUGGGAAACUGGGUCUAAUACUGGAUAGGACCAUGCUGUAGGUGGUGUGGUGGAAAGAUUAGUUUCGGUAAGGGAUGAGCUCGCGGCCUAUCAGCUUGUUGGUGGGGUAAUGGCCUACCAAGGCGUCGACGGGUAGCCGGCCUGAGAGGGUGGACGGCCACAUUGGGACUGAGAUACGGCCAGACUCCUACGGGAGGCAGCAGUGGGGAAUAUUGCACAAUGGGCGCAAGCCUGAUGCAGCGACGCCGCGUGGGGGAUGACGGCCUUCGGGUUGUAAACUCCUUUCAGCCAUGACGAAGCCCUUGUGGUGACGGUAGUGGUAGAAGAAGCACCGGCUAACUACGUG
This 468-nucleotide ribosomal RNA is filed under the name uncultured bacterium. Its description in RNAcentral is "partial 16S ribosomal RNA". It matches the Rfam family "Bacterial small subunit ribosomal RNA", at positions 28 to 507 of the family's 1533-position model. The record is from RNAcentral.